CAAUAGCGUAUAUUAAAGUUGUUGCAGUUAAAAAGCUCGUAGUUGGAUUUCUGGUCGGAAGCUCCUGUCCUCUGAUGAGCGUACAAGUGCGUCCUACCAUCCUUCUGUUAACCUUUAAGGCUUUCGCGGCUUUCUAGGGGCUCAGAUAUUUUACCUUGAGAAAAUUAGAGUGUUUCAGGCAGGCUAGCGCCGGAAUACAUUAGCAUGGAAUAAUGGAAUAGGACUUUUGCCUCUUCUGUUGGUCAUGAGGCUCGAGUAAUGAUUAAUAGGGAUAGUUGGGGGCAUUAGUACUUAACUGUCAGAGGUGAAAUUCUCGGAUUUGUUAAAGACUAACUUAUGCGAAAGCAUUUGCCAAGGAUGUUUUNAUUAA
RNAcentral lists this ribosomal RNA (370 nucleotides) under uncultured eukaryote. Its description in RNAcentral is "partial 18S ribosomal RNA". It matches the Rfam family "Eukaryotic small subunit ribosomal RNA", at positions 592 to 976 of the family's 1831-position model. The record is from RNAcentral.